GGUACCACAACAAAACACAGCAGAGCAGGAGGAGAGGAGUGAGCGUCUGUACAGACAUGCACAAGAUCAAGAGAAAAGAGCACUUAUGCAUCAAAACACGGAAUGAGAGCCUCACUACGCAUGCUCCGACUCACGAAAGUGACCUACGUGUUAUGGCAGGCACCAGUCAAUUGAUAAUUCUUCUUGUAACCAGGCAGGGACAGCUGGAUAUACCAAUGUAGGACUUACCGGUACUUCUAAUGAUCUUAUUUUCAUUUCUUUAACUUUUCCAUUUAUUGUCCAUCCAUAGCUUCUAACUUUAUCAUUCUCUCUUCCCUGACAAU
This is a long non-coding RNA of Trichomycterus rosablanca, 323 nucleotides long. RefSeq lists it as uncharacterized. The record is from RefSeq and is a predicted model, not a curated record. NCBI's taxonomy places the organism in Eukaryota, Metazoa, Chordata, Actinopteri, Siluriformes, Trichomycteridae. The transcript is spliced from 3 exons.